GCCGGCGUAGCUCAGUUGGUAGAGCAACUGAUUUGUAAUCAGUAGGUCGCGGGUUCGACUCCUGUCGCCGGCUCCA
Molecule: transfer RNA, 76 nt
Filed under: Salinisphaera sp. T31B1
Lineage: Bacteria; Pseudomonadati; Pseudomonadota; Gammaproteobacteria; Salinisphaerales; Salinisphaeraceae
Also listed under: 9 other names
Description: tRNA-Thr
Rfam family: tRNA
About the family: Transfer RNA (tRNA) molecules are approximately 80 nucleotides in length. Their secondary structure includes four short double-helical elements and three loops (D, anti-codon, and T loops).
Source: RNAcentral